AUAUAUAUAUAUAAAUGUGAAUAGGUUCAAAGUAAAUGGAUUGAAAAAGAUAUGCCAUGCAAAUAGUAACCAUAAGAGAGUUGGAGUAGCUAUACUAAUACCAGACAAGACAAAUUUUGAGUCUAAAGUUCUUAUAGACAAAGAACCUCUUUUUGUAAUGCUAAGAGUCAACCUAUCAAGAAAAUAUAACAAUUAUAAACAGAUAUGCACCUAACAACAGAGUCUUAAAAUACAUGAAGCAAAAACAGACAUAAAUGAGAAAGAAAAUAGACAAUUCAACAAUAAUUGUUGGAGACUUUAUGCCAAACUUAAUGGACAGGACAGCUAGGUGGAUGAUGACAAGGAAAUAGGAAACUUAACAGCACUAUAAAUCAAAUAGACCUCCCAGAAUCUAUAGAACACCCAGCAAAAGCAGAAUAUACAUUCUCCUAAGCUGCACAUGAAUAAUUCUCUUGGAUAGACUAUAUGUUAGUUCAUAAAAGAAGGGUAUUAGUUUCCUGUGACUGGUGCAACAAAUUGACACAAUCUUGAUGACUUAAAACAACAGAAAUUAAUUUCCUCAAAAUUUUAGAGGUUAGAAGUCCAAAAUCAGUAGUGUUGACCAAAAUCAAAGUGUGAGCUUGGCUGUAAACCCUCCAAAAGCUCUAGAGGAGAAUCCAUUUUUGCUCCAGCAUCAACUGGUUGCCAGCAUUUUUAGUGGUGGCCACAUCACUUCAAUUUCUGCCUCCAUCUUAACAUCAGCUUCUGUUCUUGAUGGUGUAGUCAAUUUUUUUCUGCCUCUCCUUAUAAGGAUACAUGUUAUUGUACUUAGGGCCCACCCAAAUAAUCCAGAAUAAUUUCCUAACCUCAAAAUCCUUAGUUUAGUCACAUUUGCAAAGAUCUGUGUACCAGAUAAAGGAACAUUUACCAGGGCAGCCUAGGUGGCUCAGCAGUUGAGCGCCUGCCUUCAGUCCAGGGCAUGAUCCUGGAGUGCCAGGAUCGAGUCCCAUGUCCGGCUCACUGCAUGGAGCCUGCUUCUCCCUCUGCCUGUGUCUCUGCCUCUCUCUGUGUCUCUCAUGAAUAAAUAAAUAAAAUCUUAAAAAAAAAAUAAAGUAACAUUUACCAGUUCCAGCAAAUAGGAUAAGUCUCAAUAAAUUUCAAAGGAUUGAAAUCAUACAAAGCUUCUUUCCAGCCACAGAAGAAUUAAAUUAGAAAUCAAAGAAGGAAAUUUGGGAAAUUCACAAAUAAGUAUAAAUUAAAUAAAAUAUUCCUAAAUAUAUGAUGAGUCAAGAAGAAAUCACAAAGAAAAUUAUAAAAUGCUUUGAGAUGAAUGAAAAACACAACAGGGGUGCAUGGAUCGCUCAGUUGGUUGGGCAUCCAACUCUUUGAUUUUGACUCUGGUCAUGAUCUCAGGGUUCUGAGGUCAAGCCCUGUGUUGGGCUCUACACUGGGCAGAGAGCUUGCUUAAGAUUCUCUCUCUCUUUCUCUCUGCCCCUUCCACCUACCUCUCCGUGUCUUAAAAAACAACAACAAACCACACACACACAUACACACACACCCCAAAACCUAUGGGAUGCAGCCUAAGCAGUGGUCGAUGUAAACGCAAAAAUCCAUUUAAAAAGAAUAACACACCAAAACCAACUAGAAUUUAUCUUGGGAAUGCAAGAUUGGUUCAACAUACAAAAAUCAGUAACUGUUGGGAUCCCUGGGUGGCUCAGCGGCUUAGUGCCUGCCUUUGGCCCAGGGUGUGAUCUUGGAGUCCCGGGAUCAAGUCCCAGGUCAGGCUCCCUGCAUGGAGCCUGCUUCUCCCUCUGCCUGCGUCUCUGCCUCUCUCUCUGUGUCUCUCAUGAAUAAAUAAAUAAAUUUUUUAAAAAAAUCAGUAACUGUAAUACACCAAAUAGAAUAAAAGACAAAAACCACAUGACUGAACACAUCAAUAGAUGCAGAGAAAACAUUUCACAACAUUCAAUAUUCUUUCAUGGUUAAUUCAUUCAAAAAAUAGAAGGCAACAUCUUCAACCUGAUAAAGCACAUCUACAAAAAACAAACAGAAACAGCACAUCAUAUUUAUUGGUGAAAGACUGAAAGCUUUUUCCUUUAAGAUCAGGAACACGAGGAUGUCCACUCUUGCCACUUCUGUUCAAUGUUGUACUGGAGAUUUUAACUGGGCUUUCACACAAAACAAAAGAAGUGGGAGAAGGUAAAGGAAGAAGAAAGAAAGGGAGAGAAAAAAGAAGGGGGUAGCAAAUGGGGAUGGGGCUGAGGGGGAUGGGAGUGAGUAAGAGAAGGGAAGGAAGGAAAAGAAUCCAGGCUGGAAAGAAAGCAAAACUAUCUAUUUGUUGAUGACAUGUCUCAUUAACAGAAAACUCUAAACAAUCCACAUGUACAGAGCGGGGAAAAUCUAUUAGAGCUAAAAAACAAAUUUAGCACAGUUGCAGUAUACAAGAUCAAC
Molecule: long non-coding RNA, 2430 nt
Filed under: Canis lupus familiaris (dog)
Lineage: Eukaryota; Metazoa; Chordata; Mammalia; Carnivora; Canidae
Description: lncRNA (ENSCAFG00845029190.1)
Source: RNAcentral